Molecule: ribosomal RNA, 256 nt
Filed under: uncultured bacterium
Lineage: Bacteria
Description: partial 16S ribosomal RNA
Rfam family: Bacterial small subunit ribosomal RNA
Source: RNAcentral
UACGUAGGGUGCAAGCGUUAUCCGGAAUUAUUGGGCGUAAAGAGCUCGUAGGCGGUUUGUCGCGUCUGCUGUGAAAAUCCGGGGCUCAACCCCGGACUUGCAGUGGGUACGGGGCAGACUAGAGUGUGGUAGGGGAGACUGGAAUUCCUGGUGUAGCGGUGAAAUGCGCAGAUAUCAGGAGGAACACCGAUGGCGAAGGCAGGUCUCUGGGCCACUACUGACGCUGGAGAAAGCGAAAGCAUGGGGAGCGAACAGG